CCUACGGGUGGCUGCAGUGAGGAAUAUUGGUCAAUGGGCGGAAGCCUGAACCAGCCAAGUAGCGUGCGGGAUGAAGGCCCUACGGGUCGUAAACCGCUUUUGCACGGGGAUAACACCCUCCACUUGUGGAGGUCUGCAGGUACCGUGCGAAUAAGGGCCGGCUAAUUCCGUGCCAGCAGCCGCGGUAAUACGGAAGGCCCGAGCGUUAUCCGGAUUCAUUGGGCUUAAAGGGAGCGUAGGCGGGCGUUCAAGUCAGCUGUAAAAUCGCGGGGCUCAACCUCGCUCCGCCGUUGAAACUGGCGUUCUUGAGUGGGCGAGAAGUAUGCGGAAUGCGGGGUGUAGCGGUGAAAUGUAUAGAUAUCACGCAGAACUCCGAUUGCGAAGGCAGCAUACCGGCGCCCAACUGACGCUGAAGCACGAAAGCGUGGGUAUCGAACAGGAUUAGAUACCCCGGUAGUC
Molecule: ribosomal RNA, 459 nt
Filed under: uncultured bacterium
Lineage: Bacteria
Description: partial 16S ribosomal RNA
Rfam family: Bacterial small subunit ribosomal RNA
Source: RNAcentral